This 85-nucleotide non-coding RNA is filed under the name unclassified sequences. Its description in RNAcentral is "c-di-GMP sequence". It matches the Rfam family "Cyclic di-GMP-II riboswitch aptamer". The record is from Rfam by way of RNAcentral.
GUAGUGGGUAGAGGCUAAGAACUUCGUCCUGUAUGUGGGCACCGUGGGGCGAAGGAAGCCAAUGGUGCGACCGUCUACCGUUUAA